GCCGACGUAGCUCAAUUGGCGGAGCAACUGAUUUGUAAUCAGUAGGUUGUCGGUUCAACUCCGACCGUCGGCU
This 73-nucleotide transfer RNA is filed under the name candidate division WOR-1 bacterium RIFOXYA12_FULL_43_27. RNAcentral's name for it is "tRNA-Thr". It matches the Rfam family "tRNA". From Rfam's summary of the family: Transfer RNA (tRNA) molecules are approximately 80 nucleotides in length. RNAcentral also lists the same sequence under 3 other names. The record is from RNAcentral. Lineage: Bacteria; Bacillati.